RNAcentral lists this transfer RNA (72 nucleotides) under Mycoplasma sp. CAG:877. It matches the Rfam family "tRNA". From Rfam's summary of the family: Transfer RNA (tRNA) molecules are approximately 80 nucleotides in length. Lineage: Bacteria; Bacillati; Mycoplasmatota; Mollicutes; Mycoplasmatales; Mycoplasmataceae. The record is from Rfam by way of RNAcentral.
GUUCGAGUAGUUUAAUGGAUAAAAUAUUUCCCUCCGACGGAAAUGAUGUGAGUUCGAUUCUCACCUUGAACA